This is a long non-coding RNA of Agrilus planipennis (emerald ash borer), 274 nucleotides long. RefSeq lists it as uncharacterized. NCBI's taxonomy places the organism in Eukaryota, Metazoa, Arthropoda, Insecta, Coleoptera, Buprestidae. The transcript has 3 exons. The record is from RefSeq and is a predicted model, not a curated record.
AAUUAUUAUUUUACUUUACUUCUUGUUGUUUAUUGAGGAGUGUGGUAAUGUUAAUUUGUUUUUCUUGCCCCUUAUUAAUGCCAGUAAGUGGAUUAGAAAACAAUUGAAGGUAUUGGAGAUAGUAGUCAUCUUGCACUUCAUAAUGUAGCAGUACCUGAAAGAAGCAUGGUAGUGCCAGACAACACAGUAUCUUUCUUUGGAAUGAUUUAUAACAACUAACUGGUAACACCUUCAGCAGAUUGCAGUUACACAGUCAGAAAGGUUGUCGAACUAA